This 358-nucleotide ribosomal RNA is filed under the name Entamoeba coli. RNAcentral describes it as "partial small subunit ribosomal RNA". It matches the Rfam family "Eukaryotic small subunit ribosomal RNA", at positions 632 to 961 of the family's 1831-position model. The record is from RNAcentral. Lineage: Eukaryota; Evosea; Mastigamoebida; Endamoebidae.
ACAAUCGAGUCAUGAUUUACGUUCUCUGAUUUGGGCUUGCUCGAGUCAGUUGAACCGCAAUCAGAAAAUGACUCACUAUAAGCGGGAGUUUGAUUCAGUUCCAAACUCUUUUACUUUGAUUAAAUCAAGGUGCUUAAAGCAAAAUCUUCUGUUAAUGAAUGAUGAAGCAUGGUAUAAAAUGAAAAACAGAACAGAGAUCAAUAUUGAAUUAUGGGGAUGGUUCGCCAUUCGAAUAUUUCAGUUUUUUGUUUUGUUUCAAACAAGAUUAAGAGAAAUGAUUAGGGUGAUUUAGAUAGGAACGGGAGAGGUGGAAUUCCAUGAUCGUUUCGAGAUAAACGAGAGCGAAAGCAUUUCACUG